ACUGAUCCUGGGAGAAUAAUACAAGGCACGUACAUGGUUUUUAAGAUUACUGUGGGCUAUAGCAAAGGAGUUUAAAAGAAGGCACUGUAUUUGUGCUGUCACGUAAGGCGUUUGUUAAUACGAGUUUCUGUGGUUCCAGGAUCCUGCCUCCGCUAGCCUUGUGAUAUGUGCUGACGGGCGCCUUACAGAGUCCACGGUACCCACUCAUAGGACCACAGCUGUGAUUCAGCGCCACGAAAGACGAAAAAGCAAAUCCUCCAAGUGGAAAUGAGAGGACACGCGGGCAGUCCCCCGUUCUUAAAUGGCACGUGUCCUAAGAAUCUGUUUCAAUGGGAUUAUUUUAAACUCAGCUCCUCAUAUUACAAUAGUAUUUCCAGUCAUUAACUACAUGACCAUAUGCAACCUACAAACACCUGAAAAAUUCUACUAAAAACUGUAUUUUAACUAAACUUAACCAUUCUUAAGGUGUGUUACCUUUUUUUCCCUUUUUUUUUAAUUUUAGAGAAAGUGUGAGCAGGAGAGGGACAAAGAGGAAGAAUCUGAAGCAGGUUCCAUCUCAGCACAGAGCCCGACUCAGGGCUCCAUCCCACACCCCUGGGAUCAUGACCUGAGCCGAAAUCAAGAUUGGACACUCAACCAACUGAGCCACUCAGGUGCAUCUUUUAUGUAUUAAUUAAGUUUUUGGUGGUUUUUGUUUUUUUAAGUUUUAUUUUUGUUUCUUUUGAGAGAGAGAGCACCGGGGAGGGACAGACACAGAAUCCCAAACAGACUCAACACCAUCAGUGCAGAGCCUGAUGCGGGGCCCAAACCUCCAAACACCAUUGGUAUCUAUAUAAACACGCAAGAAAUGAAUCACUGUGUGGUCGAGAGCCUUAUCUUGAGUGGAGGAAUCCUUGAGCGGGGAGAGGAAAGCCGCCGGGCUGCCCACCCGUCUGUUCCUGAGACAGGCCCUCCGGGCGCAGAUCCUGCCCCGCUUGCGCUCCAGGCUCUGGUGCUGCCGCCUCAGCUCGGCCGCCUCCAGGUUCUCGUCGCCAGGCAGCCCCGCCACACAAGCCAUGGCCUCAAGCUCCUCUGCACUCUCACAUGGGUCGUAAUAGACAACUUCCCCCUCUUUAUCUAGAAGCAUAGUGGUGACAUUUAAAACGUGUUUGGUGUAAAAAAUAACACAUGAAGAUACCUUCAGUGUAAGGGAAGUACGGGAGACUUGUAACCCCGCCACCCAGGGAGAGCUGCUGUUAGCACCCGUGGGGGGUGGGGGGGUGUAGACACACACACACACACACACACACACACACACACACACACACACCAGUAACAGUGCUAAGAGGACAUUUUCCAUGUGAUGGAAAGAGAACUUCAAUGGCAACACAGUAUUCUCUCAUUGAAGCACUCUGUACCGUUAGAAAUAUUCCAAGUUCCAUUAUUAUCAAAUUCACCGUGAUGAACAUCUGAACAUAAAGUCUUUGUGUACAUUUUUAUUACUUCCUUAGAGAUGAAUAGUCAAGGCUCUUGGCAGCUAGCACUCGAUCGCCCUCCAGAAAGGAAACCCACAUUCUGCCAGCAGUGUCUCAUUAAGGUGCCUUAAAGACAUUUAAUCGUGAUUACGUACACAUCUUUUAAAAAUACACGCUAAUUGUGACAAAUCCUAGCUCUGCAGAACUAAAUAAGAUAGAAAGUGAAAUUUUCUUCUUCCUUUCCCAAACCUUUGGGAGCCCAUUCCCAAAGGAAAAAAUUAUGAACAAUUUGGCAUGCAUCUUUCUGGAUUAACUCUUUCAGUAGGAUUUUUUCCUAAAUAUGUAAAAUGCUUAUAACCUCAAAUUACUGCAAAGUUUUUUGAAUACUCAGGAUUCAAUUAAAUGUUCAGAUUUGGUAUGGCUUAACCCAGUGAACCACCCAGGAGCCCCAAAGAGAUUUUUUUUUUUUUUCACUCACAAACAUACUAAAAGAAAACAUAAGUAAAAUAUUGAUAUAAUUUGGGGAUGAGGAGCAUUUUGCCAAGCAUAACAACAAACACGGGAAGACUUCACCAAAAGCAGAUAGGACUUCAUAAAAAUUAAGUAUUUCUGCAAGGCAAGAGAAAGCAAAUGACAAGGAGAAGUUUUUGGCAACAUUUGACAGAUACUAGAGUAAUAGCCUUAGUACGGAAAGGGAACAUUCCAAGAAAAAUGGGCAAAGACCAAGGAUAGACAGUUAAUGAAAGAAAUACAGACAGCCAGUACACAUACAAAAAUGUGCCUACUACACUUUUUUUUUUUAAUUUAUUAUUAAGAGACAGAGUCAGAGCAUGAGCAGGGGGGAGGCAGACAGGAGGGAAGACACAGAAUCCGAAGCAGGCUCCAGGCUCUGAGCUGUAAGCACAGAGCCUGACAUGGGGCUCAAACUCACAAACCGUGAGAUGAUGGCCUGAGCCUAAGUCGGAAGCUUAACUGGCUGAGCCACAGGCGCCCCAUGCCUGCUACACUUAUAAUUAAAGAAAUGAAAACUACAAGACGCCAUUUUCUUCUAUCAGGGAGGCAAGAAUUGGAAAGAAUGCUGUAAGUAUGGGGAAACAGGUGCUUUCAUAAUCUGCUGCGGGGAGCAUCUUUCUGCACAACCUCAACCUACAAGGCCAUUGUAUAGUAUGGAAUUUAGAAGUCAGAAAAUAAUAGAGGCCAGGAAAAAAAUGUAUCCUGAAGGACUAUUAUAGUGUAAGCAGGUAUGUGUCAAGAUGUAAAAUUUGCACUGUCCUUGACCCAGCAAUUCCAUCUUUGGAAAUUUAUUCCAAAGAAACACUCUCUCUUACAUGCAAAGACGUGUAGAGGAAGGCUCCCCACUACACUACCGUUUGCAAGAGUGAAAAACGAAAUCACGGUACGUACACAUAAUGAAUGCUGUGCAGUCAUUAAAAUUUUUCAUGUUUUUCUUACUCAAAUGGAAAGAUGGUUUUUAGGUAUUAAAUGAAAAGAGGCUACUCUACAGGGUAUACAGUUUUGGUUUAGAAAUUGAUAUUUACUUAUACACAUCAGCAUAUAACCAAGGCUAUGUCAGGAUCUCUAGAUGAUGGAACUGGGGUGAUAACAGUUUCCUUGGUUUUGCUGUGUGUUUAAUGAUGAAUUUAUCAUCUGGAAAACAAAAAUGCUAAAAGGAAACUUCAGGAAAUUUCAGUAAAUGUUUUAGACAACUUAUAAGAAGUGGUAACACAGUCUUGGUAUUGUCUUGAAGGCGUGAUUUAAACAUUUUAACAUACCCAUUUAAGUAUAAAUCUUACCUCUUAUAAGCCUUUUAAUUGAGUCCAACUGUAUAAUAAGCAGUAUUUCUUCAUAUUUUAAUAUCUCGAAUUUAACCUCAUACAGUUCUAAUUGGACUUCAUAAUAUUGUAUUUCUAAUUCAUCAACAACGUCCAUAUUUUUUUCUUGUUCUGGAAGAUCUUCCAUCUGGUUUUCAUGGAAAAAGUAAGAGCAGGUUAAAAUAACUAGCACAUUAAAAGCAAACAUUAGAUGCAUUUGAGCACUAUUCUAUUCUUUGCUUAAUACCAAAUAUAAAACUAACAGAGGAAACCUCGUUCCAUUUCAUUUAAUAAAACAAAAAUGCCUUACUUGAUGUUUGUUACAAAUAUUUUAACUUACCCUUGAAACAUAUGAAAAUACUUAGGCUUUCGAGAAAAAUAAAUGGCCGUGAGGCAUUUGCAGCAUUUCCUGCUUCAAACUCCUACCAUUAGAGGAAGAAAUUUAAGUGGCUAUGAUCCUGGGAUAAAGUACCUUUUUAUUGCCCUCAAGUCAUGCUGAAACACUGCUUGAUUGAUUUAAGUAUCUCAUCUACUUCAGGGCUGAGCUCAGUGUUCUUAUCAGGAGCACCCUACAAUAUAAUAUUUCAAAAACAUCUUGACCGAAAGGAAGUUUCCUGCCAACCUCCCGCGGUCAACAUUCGCAGCCAGUAGAAGAUGUGCAGUGGGUGCAGCAAGGAAGCUCUAACUGUGUUUGGAAAGAAAGGCACUACCCAAAGGUGUGUUUUUCUGUUACUUUAGAUUUUGUUUAAGUUUAUUUAUUUUUGAGAGAGAGCAAAGGAGCGAGGGGCAGAGAGAAAGAGAGAAUCCCAAGCAGGCUCUGCCCUGUCAACAGAGGGCCUGACUUGGGGAUUGAACCCACAAACUGCUAGAUCAUGACGUGAGCCGAAACCAAGAGUCAGACCGACUGAGCCACCCAGGCGCCCUUAAGAGUAUGUUUUUUUAAACCAAGUUUCAUUUAUCUUUGUCUUACCUUUCCCUGAAUUUCCGCUCUUUUGUGAUUUAAACACAACUCCUUGGCCCUCAUGAGCUGCAGGGUCUCUUGGGCCAACAUCAACUUGAGUUUUUCUAACCUGGGAGCUGCCGUGGCCCAGGCAGCUUGGCCAAACCUCUUCUCAUCCUGUUCCAUUUGUUUCUGCAUUCCUGUCGGAUUGGAAUUAAUAAAAUAAAACGUAAUUACAACUCACCAAAAGGGAGAAAAAUGUAUCCCGAGCUAAUUCUUUGUUUACUGCCUCCCACGUUACUUACAAAACAUCCUUUUUAAAAGAAAAUUUGUUUUAUUUUAAUGACCUUUUAUUGUCACAAAAAUAAAACAUACAUAAAAAUUUUAGAUACUUCAUUUUAAAAAAAGAGAAAAAUAAUAAAUCCUGAAUCUCACCUAGUAGAGGUGAGGAUUUCUUGCAUUUUGGUGCAUAUACUUCCAGACUGUUUCUAUGUCCGUCCGGCUAGACAGGCAGUUUGAACCAAAACCAAAAAAUAAAAACACCCCACAAGAUCAUCCUUCUUUUUUGUAUUUUAUUUAUUUCACUUGAUAGAUAGUGGAAGUGUUACCAUUCACAAAAAACAGAUCUGGAGAAGCAUGCGUAAUAGCUACAUGGCAUUUCACUUUACGGAUGUAACUUAAACUGGGAGACACUCGGUGUCCUGUCUGGAGCCAUCAUCAACAACUUACAGAUGAGAUAGAGGUCCUUGUCCCCCACCCCCAUCCCUGCCGUCUGCCGCAUUCUUUCCCACCAUGUUCCCCUGUUCAUCUCUGCUCCAGCCCCGAGACUCGACGUUCCUCACACUUGCCAAGCUCCCUCCAGCCAGAGCACCUUUGUGAGUGCCCUUUCCUCUUCCUGGAACACUCUUCCCUCACUGUGAUGCUCUCUCCGCUCCCACCGACCCUCCAGAUAGAUAUCAGGGCAAGGGCUAUUUCCCAGAGGCCUUCACUGACCUAGUGAAGGAGCCUCGUUCCUCUCGGUGGCUCUCAGAGCCCCGUGCUUCUCUCCUUCAUGUGGCCAGUUGUUAACUGCCAUUCUCCAUGUGUUUGAGUGAAUAUAUAAAUAGGAUUUCUCUGCCCUCACCAGACCGUGCAGUGUCUGUUUAUACUUCUCCUUACACUGAAUCCCCAGCUCCUAGAAAACACAGCGCCUGGUGUUCAAGAAGCACUCAGAUGUUUUUUGAACAAAAUGAAAAUGACACAUCUUAGAAUAGAAUUUUAAAUUGUUACCUGCUAACGCUUUUACUGUUUCUUUAAAAUAAUUCACUGUGAUGUCCUGAAUAGAGACUACAGCUUCUUCAGCCCUUCUGCUCCAUUCUUUGGCUUCCUUCUGCAAGGCCACUAUCCUUUUAGGACCCAGAUCAUCCUCAUUCAAGGAUUUC
Molecule: long non-coding RNA, 5626 nt
Organism: Neofelis nebulosa (Clouded leopard)
Lineage: Eukaryota; Metazoa; Chordata; Mammalia; Carnivora; Felidae
Exons: 2
Source: RefSeq, a predicted model, not a curated record